RNAcentral lists this ribosomal RNA (263 nucleotides) under uncultured Staphylococcus sp. RNAcentral's name for it is "partial 16S ribosomal RNA". It matches the Rfam family "Bacterial small subunit ribosomal RNA", at positions 99 to 354 of the family's 1533-position model. Lineage: Bacteria; Bacillati; Bacillota; Bacilli; Caryophanales; Staphylococcaceae. The record is from RNAcentral.
CGGACGGGUGAGUAACACGUGGAUAACCUACCUAUAAGACUGGGAUAACUUCGGGAAACCGGAGCUAAUACCGGAUAAUAUAUUGAACCGCAUGGUUCAAUGGUGAAAGACGGUUUUGCUGUCACUUAUAGAUGGAUCCGCGCCGCAUUAGCUAGUUGGUAAGGUAACGGCUUACCAAGGCAACGAUGCGUAGCCGACCUGAGAGGGUGAUCGGCCACACUGGAACUGAGACACGGUCCAGACUCCUACGGGAGGCAGCAGGC